This 383-nucleotide ribosomal RNA is filed under the name uncultured fungus. RNAcentral describes it as "eukaryotic LSU rRNA". The stretch from base 1 to 125 matches the Rfam family "5.8S ribosomal RNA", at positions 30 to 154 of the family's 154-position model. The record is from RNAcentral. Lineage: Eukaryota; Fungi.
GCAUCGAUGAAGAACGCAGCCAGUUGCGAUAAGUAGUGUGAAUUGCAGAAUUCAGUGAAUCAUCGAAUCUUUGAACGCAAAUUGCGCUUUCUGGAUAUCCAGGGAGCAUGCCUGUCUGAGCGUCGUUUAAAAAUCAACAUACUUUGGUAUGGGUAGGGAUUUUAGGUGGCUCACUUCACUGUGGGUUAUCUAUAUCUCGAUGUAUCUGAACCUUGCAUUACUUUGUUUGUAUUGCUUGGAAGGCUCAACUUGCUUCUGUCUUUCUAAAGUUUGUACUAUCAUUCGAUGUAGGUGUUCUUACAUUCUUCGGAAUGAAUUUCUUUUUUUGACCUCAGAUCAGACAAGACUACCCGCUGAAUUUAAGCAUAUCAAUAAGCGGAGGA